Molecule: transfer RNA, 77 nt
Filed under: Helicobacter mustelae
Lineage: Bacteria; Pseudomonadati; Campylobacterota; Epsilonproteobacteria; Campylobacterales; Helicobacteraceae
Also listed under: 4 other names
Description: tRNA-His(gtg)
Rfam family: tRNA
About the family: Transfer RNA (tRNA) molecules are approximately 80 nucleotides in length.
Source: RNAcentral
GUGGAUGUAGCUCAGUUGGUUAGAGCAUCAGGUUGUGGCUCUGAGGGUCGUGGGUUCGAGCCCCAUCAUCCACCCCA